RNAcentral lists this ribosomal RNA (438 nucleotides) under uncultured bacterium. RNAcentral describes it as "bacterial SSU rRNA". It matches the Rfam family "Bacterial small subunit ribosomal RNA", at positions 355 to 786 of the family's 1533-position model. The record is from RNAcentral.
UAGGGAAUUUUCGUCAAUGGGGGGAACCCUGAACGAGCAAUGCCGCGUGUGUGAAGAAGGUCUUCGGAUCGUAAAGCACUGUUGUAAGUUAAGAAUGCCAUAUAGAGGAAAUGCUAUGUGGGUGACGGUAGCUUACCAGAAAGCCACGGCUAACUACGUGCCAGCAGCCGCGGUAAUACGUAGGUGGCAAGCGUUAUCCGGAAUCAUUGGGCGUAAAGGGUGCGUAGGUGGCACGAUAAGUCUGAAGUAAAAGGCAACAGCUCAACUGUUGUAUGCUUUGGAAACUGUCGAGCUAGAGUGCAGAAGAGGGCGAUGGAAUUCCAUGUGUAGCGGUAAAAUGCGUAGAUAUAUGGAGGAACACCAGUGGCGAAGGCGGUCGCCUGGUCUGUAACUGACACUGAUGCACGAAAGCGUGGGGAGCAAACAGGAUUAGAUACC